Molecule: ribosomal RNA, 253 nt
Filed under: uncultured bacterium
Lineage: Bacteria
Description: partial 16S ribosomal RNA
Rfam family: Bacterial small subunit ribosomal RNA
Source: RNAcentral
UACGUAGGAUGCAAGCGUUGUCCGGAUUUAUUGGGUUUAAAGGGUGCGUAGGCGGCUUAUUAAGUUAGUGGUGAAAACGUUCGGCUUAACCGGAUACCCGCCAUUGAUACUGAUAGACUUGAGUGCGACAGAGGGUGUUGGAAUGUGUGGUGUAGCGGUGAAAUGCUUAGAGAUCACGCAGAACACCAAUUGCGAAGGCAGAUGCCUAUGUCGUAACUGACGCUGAGGCACGAAAGAGUGGGGAGCAAACAGG